UUCCGUAGUCCCCAGAGUAUUUAUCUUCAAAUAUCUAACAGAAAAAGAAAAUUCGAAACAAAAAGUGUGUCUAAAGAAGCUUGACCCCGUUUGAUAUUCUAAUUUUUGAUGUAAGGAUAUUUUGCUAUGUUACUUGAAGUUUAAACUCAAUAGACGGUAACUAUGGGAAUUUCAUUUGUUGUGGUUCUGGUCAGCCUAUUAAGUGCAUUUCUUCCAAGUGUUUAUAGUGAUGGUGCAACAAAUG
Actinia tenebrosa (Australian red waratah sea anemone) is the source of this 244-nucleotide long non-coding RNA. Lineage: Eukaryota; Metazoa; Cnidaria; Anthozoa; Actiniaria; Actiniidae. The record is from RefSeq and is a predicted model, not a curated record.